GUGAACGCUGGCGGCGUGCCUAAGACCUGCAAGUCGAGCGGGGCAGGUUUAUACCUGUUCAGCGGCGGACGGGUGAGUAACGCGUGGGUGACCUACCCGGAAGAGGCGGACAACCUGGGGAAACCCAGGCUAAUCCGCCAUGUGGUCCUGUCCUGUGGGGCAGGACUAAAGGGUGGAUAGCCCGCUUCCGGAUGGGCCCGCGUCCCAUCAGCUAGUUGGUGGGGUAAAGGCCCACCAAGGCGACGACGGGUAGCCGGUCUGAGAGGAUGGCCGGCCACAGGGGCACUGGGCCACGGGCCCCACUCCUACGGGAGGCAGCAGGUAGGAAUCUUCCGCAAUGGACGGAAGUCUGACGGAGCGACGCCGCUGGGAGGGGGAAGCCCUUCGGGGUGUAAACUCCUGAACUGGGGACGAAAGCCCUGUGUAGGGGGAUGACGGGACCCAGGUAAUAGCGCCGGCCAACUCCGUG
This 469-nucleotide ribosomal RNA is filed under the name uncultured bacterium. RNAcentral's name for it is "partial 16S ribosomal RNA". It matches the Rfam family "Bacterial small subunit ribosomal RNA", at positions 30 to 507 of the family's 1533-position model. The record is from RNAcentral.